GGGGUGCUGGGCAGGUCUGGGGUCCAGGGCCUGAGGCCAACAUCUGCAGAGGUUGAGGGGCUGUGAGCAGAGUGGCCUGGAAGAUGGAGAAUGAGGGGGAGCCACAACCACAGUUCUGAGCAAGGGAGCUAAAGGACCCCUCCUCCAGCCAGGAGCCCCGCGGCCGUCUCGAGUUCAACAACCAGGCCAUGCAUUGGACUCAGAAACCCAGCAGUCGUCAAUUGCUCUAUGCCCACCUCCCUGCAUAGCUGCGUAGGUUAAAGUCGUGAAGGUAGAACCGCCCACGGAGGGCUGCGUGAUGCAUCUCGGGCUGGGUGAGCCUGGCUUCCCAAUUAUCACCGACAAGCCUCCCCCGCCCACUCACUGCCGAGCAUCCAGUACUGGAUGCGGCUGUCUGCAUGGGACCUGGAACCAGAGAGAGAGAAAGAGAGAGACAAGCAUUUGCUUUAGGGCUAGCCUGGGAAGAGCUUGGUGUGCAUCGGACCUGGGACCCAUGCUGUGCUCCCUCCCAGCGCCUGGGGCCCUCUGCUUUCAGUCAUCUCCACCUCCGUAUGGACCCAACUGAGGUUUGGGAAGGAACGGAAUGCUGGUCGGGAGUGUGGGUCCGAGUGUAGACACUUUUGGAGAGAAUCAGCAGCAGGGCCAAGUGAAGGACCCCUUCCCCUGACCCGACCCACCCUCGCUCAUCGGAGAGACCCAGCUGCAGACAUGAAGGCCAGAACCUGCCCCUCUUCUGAUUUCAAAUUUUCCAGUAGCCUCACAAAAUAAAGAAAAUGUAAGUAAAA
Molecule: long non-coding RNA, 785 nt
Organism: Leptonychotes weddellii (Weddell seal)
Lineage: Eukaryota; Metazoa; Chordata; Mammalia; Carnivora; Phocidae
Source: RefSeq, a predicted model, not a curated record